This 52-nucleotide small RNA is filed under the name Arabidopsis thaliana (thale cress). RNAcentral's name for it is "ATSL294970". Lineage: Eukaryota; Viridiplantae; Streptophyta; Magnoliopsida; Brassicales; Brassicaceae. The record is from RNAcentral.
AGAGAAGAGGAAGAGGAAGAAGAGGAAGAAGAAGAAGAAGCUUUGGGGUGUG